GUGUCAGCAGCCGCGGUAAGACGGAGGAGGCUAGCGUUGUUCGGAAUUACUGGGCGUAAAGCGCACGCAGGCGGCGUGCCAAGUCGGAGGUGAAAUCCCGGGGCUCAACCCCGGAACGGCCUCCGAUACUGGCAUGCUGGAACGAGGGAGAGGAGAGCGGAAUUCCCAGUGUAGAGGUGAAAUUCGUAGAUAUUGGGAAGAACACCGGUGGCGAAGGCGGCUCUCUGGCCCUCUGUUGACGCUCAUGUGCGAAAGCGUGGGGAGCAAACAGGAUUAGAUACCCUGGUAGUCCACGCCGUAAACGAUGGAUGCUAGAUGUCGGGGGGCUUGCCCUUCGGUGUCGCAGUUAACGCGUUAAGCAUCCCGCCUGGGGAGUACGGCCGCAAGGUUAAA
RNAcentral lists this ribosomal RNA (393 nucleotides) under uncultured bacterium. RNAcentral's name for it is "bacterial SSU rRNA". It matches the Rfam family "Bacterial small subunit ribosomal RNA", at positions 505 to 898 of the family's 1533-position model. The record is from RNAcentral.